UUAUAUUUGCAUCUUUAUCAACUCUGUUGUCAUUCUUAUCUUAACUUUCUCCAAAUUUCAACACACAAUCAAGAAAUUCAUUGAUUAUGAUGAGGUCCAAAUUCAGCCACAAGCACAUCAUGAAGAAAAAGAGGAGGAGUAUAUGCCAAAUAGAACUAAUUCAGCUAUUGCUAUGGACACCCUUAUGUCUUUCUUCAAUCGCUACAAUUCGCAUCCAGAUAUUCAAGAUGAUAUGCUAACAACAACUACUACUACUACGCCUCAGUCUCAAAUAAGUUGGGGCCAACUAAAGGCCAAACUUGACUGUCCACAAACAACAACUACUACUCUGCUGCCUCAGUCUCAAACUCGACUAAGGGCCAAAGCUAAUAGUGCAAAAACUACUCCGCCUCAAUCUCAAACAAGUUGGGAUCGGGUAAGCGCCAACAUUGAUAGUCCAUACCUAUCUCAUUUGGCUGAGGCCCGUGAAAUCGUUAGUCCACAUUCAUCAGAUCAUGAGACAAUUAUAAGAACUAAUUAUCAAGAUAAUAAUAUUGAAGAAGGGGAAAUAGAGGGUGAUUCAUUAGAGGCAACAUGGAAGGCGAUCACGAAGAAAAAGGAAGUGAAAAAAUCAUUGACAUUUAACGAUGCUUUAUCGAUGUCUCGAAUUGGAGGGUUGAAAGGGGAUAUUUCUGUUAGUACAGAGGAGUCCAACAAGAAAUUCGAUGAUUUCAUUAAGAAAAUCAAUCAAGAGAGGUUACUGCAGAGGCAAGAAUCUGAUCAGCGUGCCCACAAUGUUAAUAUGCUAAAUCGAGCACGAUAAGUGUUCACUAAUUAAAAGAACAGAAGGCAGUUUGGGAGAACAGAGUAGCCUUGGUGAGACUAUUGGUUUAAAAUUUUUACUUAAUAUGUAUAAACUCAAAAUUCUAAUCCCGCACAAAAUGGCAUUGAAAGAAAGACUUUUUCAGUUACAAAAAAAAUAAAUAAAAUUACAGAGUGUUUACAGCAUUUUCAGGUAACAUAUAUUGUCCAGUUAGUUCUUACUUUG
This 1027-nucleotide unclassified non-coding RNA is filed under the name Hevea brasiliensis (rubber tree). The record is from RNAcentral. Lineage: Eukaryota; Viridiplantae; Streptophyta; Magnoliopsida; Malpighiales; Euphorbiaceae.